UAAUAUCAGGCUUCUUUGUAAAGGAAU
Molecule: small RNA, 27 nt
Filed under: Bombyx mori (domestic silkworm)
Lineage: Eukaryota; Metazoa; Arthropoda; Insecta; Lepidoptera; Bombycidae
Description: ovarian small RNA-19604
Source: RNAcentral